RNAcentral lists this ribosomal RNA (614 nucleotides) under uncultured Alphaproteobacteria bacterium. RNAcentral describes it as "bacterial SSU rRNA". It matches the Rfam family "Bacterial small subunit ribosomal RNA", at positions 8 to 668 of the family's 1533-position model. The record is from RNAcentral. Lineage: Bacteria; Pseudomonadati; Pseudomonadota; Alphaproteobacteria.
AGAGUUUGAUCCUGGCUCAGAACGAACGCUGGCGGCAGGCUUACCCCUCUUUAAGUCGAGCGCCCAGCAAUGGGAGCGGCGGACGGGUGCGUAACGCGUGGGAACAUGCCCUUCGGUACGGGACAACUCAGGGAAACUUGAGCUAAUACCGUAUGAUCCGGUAACGGCAAAGAUUUAUCGCCGAGGGAUUGGCCCGCGUUGGAUUAGCUAGUUGGUGGGGUAACGGCCUACCAAGGCUACGAUCCAUAGCUGGUUUGAGAGAACGACCAGCCACACUGGGACUGAGACACGGCCCAGACUCCUACGGGAGGCAGCAGUGGGGAAUCUUGGACAAUGGAGGAAACUCUGAUCCAGCCAUGCCGCGUGAGUGAUGAAGGCCUUAGGGUUGUAAAACUCUUUCGGCGGGGACGAUAAUGACGGUACCCGCAGAAGAAGCUCCGGCUAACUUCGUGCCAGCAGCCGCGGUAAUACGAAGGGGGCUAGCGUUGUUCGGAAUUACUGGGCGUAAAGCGCGCGCAGGCGGCCUUUCAAGUCAGGGGUGAAAGCCCAGAGCUCAACUCUGGAAUUGCCUUUGAAAACUGUUUGGCUUGAGUACGGGAGAGGUGAGUGGAAUU